CAGACCCUAGAAACCUGCCCUUCUCUGGCAGGGUUAGGGCUGAGAGUGGGCCCUCAGACCAUUUGGAAUGACCAGUGAUUUCAGCUCUCACUCCCUUCUCAUCAGCACAUGUCUACAGUUGCAAAAAAUUAUGCAGAAGAGCAGAUCAGAUUGAUACAGUUUGAUAAGGAUUCAGCCCACCACUGCCGACUUUGAAGAUGAAGGAGAGGGACCAUGAGCCACAGAAAACCAGCAGCCUCUAGGAACUGGAAAAAGCAAGGAAAUGGAUUCUCCCCUAGAGCUUCAUCCUCCCUCCUAGCACAAGGUCUUAGCACUGUUUCAUCUUCCCAGAAGGAUUUUCCCUCUUCCACCCUGCUUCUAGUCCCAAUAUCAUCACCAGAUAAGAAUAUGUAUGGAUUCACGAACAAGAAAAUUGCUUAACUAUUUGAUCAAGAAAGAUUGGAAAAUCAGGAUGAAGCAAGUCUGGGUGAAAGAGCUGUGAAUGGAUUUAUGGGAACAGGAAGGAGGUGUGGAGAUCCUUUUAUUACAUGUUAAUGAUCACUAGGGAACAUCCACUACAAAAGAACAUCCCACUAAAUCACCAAUAGACACAAGAGAAUAUGUGGCCCGUUGACUUUGGCCAGCCUCUGUCAUUAGAUGUCAAUGUUCAAACAACGGUGCAUGAAUGGCAUAGCCCUGGUAGCAGGAGUGGGGGCUAUGCAUGGAUCCAGCAAUAUGCACUCCCACUCCACAACGUUGACCCAGCCACCAAGGCUGAAAUAUUCAACCUUUCAGCAACAGAAACCAAGGAUGACCUUCAUCCCUGCCCAGCUAUGGUAUUAGCCCUUGAGAUCAACCAGCCACAUGGUGGAAAUUUGAAUAUCUUCUACCCUGGAAAGGUCAUUGAUUCAUUUUGGUAUUAAUUAAUUCGUGGUUCUGGGUUGGAUUUACUGUUCUUGCCUGCAGGGCCUCAGCUGGCACCAGCAUCUAAAGGCUUAGAGAGUUAGUGAUCCACCAACAUGGCAUCUCACAUAACAUCCCAUCAAACCAAGUGACCCACUUUACAAGAAAGGAGGUGCGUAAGUGGACAAGCUCCAGCUUGCCCCAGCUGGAACAAGCUCUACUAGUCCCAUCACAUCAUGCACCAUCCAGAAGCUGCCACACUAACAGAGUGAUGGAAAGCCCUGUUGAAGGCAUAGUGGAGGGGCCACACCAUUGCAAGGUAAUGUCAUUGGAGGUUUAUUUAGCAUGUGUAUUACACCCAGGAAAAUGGUGCCCCAUCCUUGCAAGGUAAUGUCAUCAUCAGAUUCUCCUGGGUGUAAUAUACAUGCUAAAUAAACAAUCAUUAUAUGAUGCUGUGUCCCCAAGAGGUAAAAUAUGUGGGAGUUAAGGAGUGGACGCAGCAAUAGCCUCACUUACCAUCAAUACAGUUGACUCCUUAGGGAACUUGUGCCUAGGCUCUGUGGGUUUAGAGGUCCUGGUGCCCAAAGGAGAUGUGCUUCCAUCAGGGAAUACAACAAGCAUUCAAUUGAACAUGAGGUUAAGGCUGCCACUUGGAAGCAUCAGGCUCCUCAUGCCAAGAGAUUACCAAGCAAGAAGAGGAAUCACCAUACCAUAGGCAUUAAUCAAUCCCAUUCUUGAGAAGGAGCUGGGACUGCUGACACAAGGCCACAGAGAGGCCCCCAGCUAACUUGCCUGGGUGUCCCUUAGAAUUCCCUUGCCCAUUUUUUAAUAAUAGAUGGAUAAAUGCAACAGCCUCCACCUAACAAAGGCAUAGUGAUGGGUCUUCUCAGGAGUGAGAAGCUAGCUAGGUCAUUCCAGCAGCCAAGUAGACCAGCAGAGGUACCAAAAAGAGACAGGAAAUUUAGACUGUAAACAAAACAGGAAGAUUUCCCCAGGAAAAGAGGCCAACUGUGAUCCUAGAGAUGCUUCUCCUUAACAUGCAGAAAGAAGUGGAUCCAUGAAGCACAAGAGCUGAGCUGUCAUGGAAACUGCACAUCUCAAAUUUCCCAUCAGGAAUGAAGGACCUAGUCCCCAUAGGCUGAAGACAGUCACCUCACCCAACUUCAUGCUCUCUUCCAGGGAGAGCCUGCAUCCAAUAACUUGUCAGCCCAAGACUAUAAAGGCCUUACCCUUUGCCUCUGUGAAGCAUCCCACAAAGAGGUGCAUCUACCUCUGAAGGUGCAUCCCAGCUUCAGGCUCCCAGUCACUUUGGGCUUACCUAGCCUCUUCCUCUGCCCUACUUUUCUCCCUCCCCUUCCUUCCUGCAGGUUUGGAUCCUGAGAGCACUCCCUAAUAAACCUCAUGCCCAC
Symphalangus syndactylus (siamang) is the source of this 2291-nucleotide long non-coding RNA. RefSeq lists it as uncharacterized. NCBI's taxonomy places the organism in Eukaryota, Metazoa, Chordata, Mammalia, Primates, Hylobatidae. The record is from RefSeq and is a predicted model, not a curated record.